AUGAACGCUGGCGGCGUGCUUAACACAUGCAAGUCGAACGAUGAAGCCCAGCUUGCUGGGUGGAUUAGUGGCGAACGGGUGAGUAACACGUGAGUAACCUGCCCCUGACUCUGGGAUAAGCCCGGGAAACUGGGUCUAAUACUGGAUAUGACCUGUCACCGCAUGGUGGUGGGUGGAAAGAUUUUUUGGUUGGGGAUGGACUCGCGGCCUAUCAGCUUGUUGGUGAGGUAGUGGCUCACCAAGGCGACGACGGGUAGCCGGCCUGAGAGGGUGACCGGCCACACUGGGACUGAGACACGGCCCAGACUCCUACGGGAGGCAGCAGUGGGGAAUAUUGCACAAUGGGCGCAAGCCUGAUGCAGCGACGCCGCGUGAGGGAUGACGGCCUUCGGGUUGUAAACCUCUUUCAGUAGGGGAAGAAGCCCUUUUGGGUGACGGUACCUGCAAAAUAAGCGCCGGCUAACUACCUGCCAGCAGCCCGCGGUAAUACGUAGGGCGCAAGCUUUAUCCGGAUUUAUUGGGCGUAAGAGUCUCGUAAGCUGUUUGUCGCGUCUGGCCGUGAAAGUCCGGGGCUUAACUCUGGAUCUGCGGUGGGUACGGGCAGACUAGAGUGCAGUAGGGGAGACUGGAAUUCCUUGGUGUAGCGGUGAAAUGCGCAGAUAUCAGGAGGAACACCGAUGGCGAAGGCAGGUCUCUGGGCUGUAACUGACGCUGAGGAGCGAAAGCAUGGGGAGCGAACAGGAUUAGAUACCCUGGUAGUCCAUGCCGUAAACGUUGGGCACUAGGUGUGGGGGACAUUCCACGUUUUCCGCGCCGUAGCUAACGCAUUAAGUGCCCCGCCUGGGGAGUACGGCCGCAAGGCUAAAACUCAAAGGAAUUGACGGGGGCCCGCACAAGCGGCGGAGCAUGCGGAUUAAUUCGAUGCAACGCGAAGAACCUUACCAAGGCUUGACAUGGACUGGAUCGCCGCAGAGAUGUGGUUUCCCUUCGGGGCUGGUUCACAGGUGGUGCAUGGUUGUCGUCAGCUCGUGUCGUGAGAUGUUGGGUUAAGUCCCGCAACGAGCGCAACCCUCGUUCCAUGUUGCCAGCGGGUUAUGCCGGGGACUCAUGGGAGACUGCCGGGGUCAACUCGGAGGAAGGUGAGGACGACGUCAAAUCAUCAUGCCCCUUAUGUCUUGGGCUUCACGCAUGCUACAAUGGCCGGUACAAAGGGUUGCGAUACUGUGAGGUGGAGCUAAUCCCAAAAAGCCGGUCUCAGUUCGGAUUGGGGUCUGCAACUCGACCCCAUGAAGUCGGAGUCGCUAGUAAUCGCAGAUCAGCAACGCUGCGGUGAAUACGUUCCCGGGCCUUGUACACACCGCC
RNAcentral lists this ribosomal RNA (1362 nucleotides) under uncultured bacterium. RNAcentral's name for it is "bacterial SSU rRNA". It matches the Rfam family "Bacterial small subunit ribosomal RNA", at positions 29 to 1394 of the family's 1533-position model. The record is from RNAcentral.